Haemorhous mexicanus (house finch) is the source of this 3584-nucleotide long non-coding RNA. RefSeq lists it as uncharacterized. NCBI's taxonomy places the organism in Eukaryota, Metazoa, Chordata, Aves, Passeriformes, Fringillidae. The record is from RefSeq and is a predicted model, not a curated record. The transcript is spliced from 3 exons.
CAGAUGACUGCAACCAAGAUGGAGCAGAAAUUGGAUGGUUUUGCAUGGCUAAACUUGCCCUGAGCUGAGCUUUCAGAGAGUUCAAACCACUCCAGGUGAUCCUCAAAUGGAAGAGCUCCACAAGUCUACCCACCUGAAAAGCAGAAAUAAAAGAUUGGCAACAUCCAGGCUACAUAAAUACUCCAUGAAAAUGCAGACUCGUGCCACGAGUCCAAAGGAUCCAGGAUCCAGUUUUCCUGUGGGUUACCCUCCCUGGAAUUACACAACAACAGCAGCAUCAAUGGAAAUUCAUAUUCCAGGGCAGUAAACAGAACAACACCCAAAUGAUGACGAGAUUGAGCUGCACAGAUGAUCUUCAGCAUUUGUCAUCAAAGAGACACUGAGCUGCUUGUCCCCAGAGGGCUGCUCAUGGAUGGCUUUCCUUGCAGCAGGACAGCACAGCAGGCCUUGACCUGUGCCACCACCCUGGCUGAGAUAAGCCCCUGCCAGAUCUUUCAUCCUUGUCCCACUGACAGAAGGUCCCUGGGGAUGCCCUGCUGGAAUAUCAAAGCACUGAUGGCAUGCUACACUCAUCCUCCCACCGUAAGCCUCCCCAGCACCACGAUUGUGACAUCUUAUAGAAACCAGCAUUUUCUGUGGCAUCAAAAUGGAUCUGUGGCUGGGUUUCUAAACCAGCAAUAUAUGCUGGAGUGCUGUAAAUAGGAUGCAGCCUGGUGAAAGAGGGAAAUCAUCAGUCUUCAUGCUGCCCUUGGCCAAGAAAGCUCCCUCACUCUAAAAAAAACACCCUAAAAAUAAUGAAAACUCACAGUCCUUUAUUUCAGAGCAGUCAGAUUAUGUAAUGUUAGUACACACAUCUCAAGCAGAGACACAUUGCCCUUUCCCUUUGCAUUAGAUAAACAACAGCUUUCCUUUUUCCUUUCUUUCUGAUGGAAAUCACAACUGUGGACCCAGCUGUGUUACUCAGAGCCUGAGCUGCUAACAGCCUUCACAAUCCUGUUCAUUAGGAAGCAACCAAACAAACUUGACAGGACUGCCAUGUACCCAGACACUUUUACUAAAUUCUGUUUAUGUUAUUUUUCAAGUAGAUUUGGCAUUCACAAGGCUGCACCACUGGUUGAGAUGAAGGCAACAAAAGCUCUUGCUAUUGACAGGAAAGGGACAGAAGAGGUCCUUUAAGCAUCCUUGACAGCUCUCUGCUGCUCUUGUGGCUCUAGAGCCAAAAGUGCACUCAGGUCUCACAUGCAGGCAUGUAAGUUCUGCAGAAAACACCAAAAACACCCCCAGAAUAUUGGCUAGUCCCAAGAAAGUGACUGGGAAGGUCAAUCCCGUUGACUCACUCCCCAAAAAAAAGGUUGACAGCCUUGUGGUGGUGACUGCCAUCACCUCCAACCUGGACUCAAUUAAUUUGAACACUUCUUCCUGCAGUGGGAAUUUUACCAGUGGCUUUAGUGGUCCAACCUUUAUAGGGAAAAAAAAAAGACAGCCAGAAGCCUUACAGCCACCCAGCUUAAAUCCUGUAUCAACAGCAAACACAGGGGGUUCUCUUUGGUUUCCUCUCUGCAACUGGACCUACCACAGUGGCUCGUGACAGCCAUGUGCCACAUCUCAUCUCUGGGUUAUCCUCCACAAAGCCACUGGGACUUCAUCCAGAGAAAUUCUGCACAGUGUGGUGAGUGGCAGCAGUAGCAUUCUGUAAAAUGUUUCAUUUCACACAAUUAAAUUCUUAGUGAUUAUGUGAGAGAAUUCCCAUUUGUCUACUGUGCAGUAAAGCUAAUUCAUUGCCCCUGACAAUAUUGCAUUUUCAAGCUGGAACUCUCCCUUUUUUAAAGAAAAGCUUUCUGAUCAACCAGGCCCGUGGUGAAGCAGCCCUUAUUGUUCUUUGGAUGGGAGAAACUUUGUGCCACAUGCAGAAAAAACCAUGAUCAUUAACCCUAAAUCCUUCACAGCUCACCAGUCCUGCAAACAGCACCCCAAUUCCAACAAGGAAGGAAAAUAUCAAUGCAGAAAUUAUUGGUCACCAGGCAGCAUAUUGUGGCUGGAAUUUUCCAGCGAGCUCAGUGCCUUUAGCAGUGGCCAAACAUUUGAAAGAAGCUCUUCAUAGUCCAAAAUAAAUGUCUACAUUUUCAGAAGACAGGCAGUGAUUAGGCACUGUCUGGGAAGAGAUUCCAUUUUUUUUAAUCACUUCCAAGUUUUAUUUUUGCACAUGGAUUUUGUCCUUGGGUCUGGCUGAUCUGGACGAGGCACGUGGUGCUCUGUGUCUCAGAAGGGUCAGCCAAGCAUGGGCGCUGCUGUCAGCUGGAUGCAUUGCUCAGUGGCACUGGAAAUUUGGAAACUUCUGCCCCUGGGAGCAGCUUCAGAGUGGUCUGGCCAUAUCCUCCACCUCUGGGCUGGUCCAAGAGUAAUGCAGAGUUGGUGUAACCUUAAAUCAGGAAGACUCACCAGCUUUGCAUUCUUGAGCAUAAGAGAAGAGGCCUGGCGAAUGCUCCCCCUGGAAAAUCACACACAGAUCAGAUCAUGUUGCCUACUGCAGUGCAAGAGAAAUGAGGAAUCAAAGACACUGGAGAUUCUACUGUUCUUUUUAAGCCCUCUUCCAGCAAACACGGUGCCCAUAUUUUACAGGGCUACAACACAAUAAUCUGCCACCACUGCUUUAACGACCAAGCAGUUGCAGAGUUGAUCUAUAAACUGAUGUUGCCAUUUAAUGUGGUUUCCAGUGAACUGUAAAAUUUAUGGCUGUAACUAACACCCCCCCUGCCCCUCUGUCUUUUAUGUUCUCCUCAAAAAACAAGCUGCUCCAUAGCUCCAAAAGGCAACAUGCAGAAAACCAGUGUGUAACCUGAAGUGAGCUAAUUAGGAUCACAUUCACAUACCAUGGAUCUGCAGCCUUCUGGUCAAUUAAGCAAAGAUUAAUGUCUGACACUGGGUGGAUGACUACCACAGAAAGGCAGGCCCAGAAAUACUCAGAUACACUGCUGUUGCACAACCUGAACAGUGGCAAAGCUGCUGUGCAGAGCUGAGACCCUCUGUGAUGUUUCCUCCAUGGUUUUCCCACUCUUUUCCAUGCAAACCUCUCAGCCUCACCACUAUUUCCAUCCUGUCACGGUGCCACUGGUGCCGCUUCUUUGGCAGCUUCCUGGCAUGGGUGUCCCUGCCCUAAGCCCUACUGAUAAGAGCAGCUGUAAGGUGAAUUCCACCUCUGCUCAGCUGUCUGGCCCUACUCCCAUCCUCUUUGUGGUGACUGAUGGGAUUUAAAUGGGCUUCACAUUGAGUGCACCACAUGGGGAGAGCCUGGUCCCAAACGAACGUAAUGCUGGAAAAUCUCCUUGGGCGCUCACGAGUGCUGGGGCUGAUUUAGGCUCACUGUUGUGAAGGCUUGGAAUCAAAACUGAGGGCCUGAUCCCAAAGCCCAUUAGCCUUUGGAAAGGCUUCCUAUGAUGUCAGUGGAUUUUGGAAUACACUUUUGAUGCCUUCUGGUAAGGGCUGAUGGAAAAAAAUCUUCAAGCUUAAUUGGAGUGUCGGGGGGGGAACUGGUGAGGAAAAUGGUUUUAGAUGAACAGCUCUGUUGAGGGGGAUGCAUGUCCUUG